UGAAUUUUAUUGGUUAUUUGUUUUCUGAUCUACUUUUCGAUUCCUAACAUGGGAGAUAAGUAUAUAUGCUUCUGUGUGCGUUUUUACUGCCACUUGCUCUAGUCGUAGUUGAAAUAAACAGAAUUACACCAUGUAACGAGAGUGUUCGAGUGAGAUGUGCUUCUCUACCUCAUUUUUUGGAGCUAGUAAGUGGUUACAAAUAUACAUAUCUUGGAAGCAGCAUUUGUAUACUGUCAAUAAGUUGCUAGGUGCUUUUGUACUUUCUCCUACCACUAAAGCCAGAAAGGAUCAAGGGAGGAUAUAUCAUUCUCAACUCAAAAGAAAAAUGGCCUCAAAUAAGUGUUUUGUUCACUCAGUAUUUAAUAUUUAUAAUUAAGAAUUAAGAAAAUGAAACAAUGUAUCUUGAUUUUAAGAAUGAUGUUUAGGAAUUAGAUCACAUCACCAUACUUGUGCCCUCUUACUAAAUCAGAUAUACAUCAUCUGACGUAUUUUUUUACUCACAAACUAUUUGUUAACUACUCCCUCCGUUUCAAAUUGUAGGUUAUUUUAGUUUUUCUAGGUUCAUAGAUACUGUUAUGCAUCUAGACAUACAUUAUAU
RNAcentral lists this long non-coding RNA (598 nucleotides) under Setaria viridis. RNAcentral describes it as "long non-coding RNA (SVIR_LNC009480)". Lineage: Eukaryota; Viridiplantae; Streptophyta; Magnoliopsida; Poales; Poaceae. The record is from RNAcentral.